RNAcentral lists this ribosomal RNA (253 nucleotides) under uncultured bacterium. RNAcentral's name for it is "partial 16S ribosomal RNA". It matches the Rfam family "Bacterial small subunit ribosomal RNA", at positions 524 to 776 of the family's 1533-position model. The record is from RNAcentral.
UACAGAGGGUGCGAGCGUUAAUCGGAAUUACUGGGCGUAAAGCGCGCGUAGGCGGCUUUUCAAGCCGAUUGUGAAAUCCCCGGGCUUAACCUGGGAACUGCAGUCGGGACUGUCUAGCUAGAGUAUGGGAGAGGGAAGUGGAAUUUCAGGUGUAGCGGUGAAAUGCGUAGAUAUCUGAAGGAACAUCAGUGGCGAAAGCGACUUCCUGGACCAAUACUGACGCUCAUAUGCGAAAGCAUAAAGAGCAAACAGG